Long non-coding RNA from Trachymyrmex cornetzi, 388 nucleotides. RefSeq lists it as uncharacterized. The record is from RefSeq and is a predicted model, not a curated record. NCBI's taxonomy places the organism in Eukaryota, Metazoa, Arthropoda, Insecta, Hymenoptera, Formicidae. The transcript is spliced from 3 exons.
AAUUAUAAUUUUUUAAUUUUGCAAUUCCUGUACUAAUUUUCCAAAUGUUUCUAAGUUUCAAAGUAAAACGAGCAGUUAACCCCAAAAAAUUUUCUGUAUAACAGCAUGUUUAUAAGGAGCUUACGGUCAAACGCCUUUCUCCUUACUUGUAUACCGGUUCCGUUCCUCUUCGGAGAGAAGCAUAUCCCUUAUGCGUGCGUCAUGCGAUAGAAAACGAGACGAUAAGAAAUAGAGCGUGCACUUGCACGUAUUACCCAGUCCGACGAAUAAAUGGCGGCAUAUACAACAGUGGACCAAAUAAACGAUGAAUCACGCAUGGUGAGUUUAAAGAGAGGAUUUUUACCAAACACAAGCGACAAUGGAAUAUCUAUUCCAGGAAGUAUACGCC